RNAcentral lists this non-coding RNA (29 nucleotides) under Rattus norvegicus (Norway rat). The record is from RNAcentral. Lineage: Eukaryota; Metazoa; Chordata; Mammalia; Rodentia; Muridae.
UCCUAUGUUGCGUUCUCGGAGCUUGAGUC